This 352-nucleotide long non-coding RNA is filed under the name Phaseolus vulgaris (common bean). Its description in RNAcentral is "long non-coding RNA (PVUL_LNC000967)". Lineage: Eukaryota; Viridiplantae; Streptophyta; Magnoliopsida; Fabales; Fabaceae. The record is from RNAcentral.
AUAAUAAUAAUAAAAAAGUAAAGUAUGCAUGAAGAAGAAGCACAAAAGAUAAGAAAGCCCACAAGUGUUUGAUAUGAUGAAAUGAAAACAAAGCACACCACAAUCAUCUCCAACCAAACCCCACAACACAACCCUUCUCUCAAUCUCAGUGACCACCACUCUCCUUUUCUUUCUCCUCCUCUGUCUUUGAGUGGUAACCAGGAAGCUUCUCUUUUAUCUUCUCCAAUAUACCUUUCUUCUCCUUCGCCUCUCCUUCAUGUUCCGAUGAGGUGGCAGCAGGUGGUGGCGGAGGAGGAGCUGCCGCCUCCUCACUCUUCUUGUGCCCUGGUAGCUUCUCCUUAAUCUUCUCCAG